Transfer RNA from Paramecium tetraurelia, 73 nucleotides. It matches the Rfam family "tRNA". Rfam says of the family: Transfer RNA (tRNA) molecules are approximately 80 nucleotides in length. The record is from Rfam. NCBI's taxonomy places the organism in Eukaryota, Ciliophora, Oligohymenophorea, Peniculida, Parameciidae.
GGGAGUAUAGCUCAGUUGGGAGAGCGUAAGACUGAAGAUCUUAAUGUCAUGGGUUCGAUCCCCAUUGUUCCCA